RNAcentral lists this ribosomal RNA (502 nucleotides) under uncultured Streptococcaceae bacterium. Its description in RNAcentral is "partial 16S ribosomal RNA". Lineage: Bacteria; Bacillati; Bacillota; Bacilli; Lactobacillales; Streptococcaceae. The record is from RNAcentral.
CACGUAGUUAGCCGUCCCUUUCUGGUUAGAUACCGUCACUUAAGUAAUUUUCCACUCUACUCAACGUUCUUCUCUAACAACAGAGUUUUACGAUCCGAAAACCUUCUUCACUCACGCGGCGUUGCUCGGUCAGGGUUGCCCCCAUUGCCGAAGAUUCCCUACUGCUGCCUCCCGUAGGAGUCUGGGCCGUGUCUCAGUCCCAGUGUGGCCGAUCACCCUCUCAGGUCGGCUAUGUAUCAUCGCCUUGGUAGUCCUUUACACUACCAACUAGCUAAUACAACGCGGGAUCAUCAAGUAGUGAAGCAAUUGCUUCUUUCAAAUAAGAAUCAUGCGAUUCUCAUUGUUAUGCGGUAUUAGCGUUCGUUUCCAAACGUUGUCCCCCGCUACUCGGCAGAUUUCCCACGCGUUACUCACCCGUUCGCCGCUCUUCAUGAAAAUAGCAAGCUAUCUUCAAUCAUCGCUCGACUUGCAUGUAUUAGGCACGCCGCCAGCGUUGUCCUCG